This 403-nucleotide ribosomal RNA is filed under the name uncultured bacterium. Its description in RNAcentral is "bacterial SSU rRNA". It matches the Rfam family "Bacterial small subunit ribosomal RNA", at positions 439 to 842 of the family's 1533-position model. The record is from RNAcentral.
GAAAGAUAGAGGUAGUAACUGGCCUUUAUUGACGGUAAUUACUUGGAAAGUCACGGCUAACUACGUGCCAGCAGCCGCGGUAAUACGUAGGUGGCAAGCGUUGUCCGGAUUUAUUGGGCGUAAAGCGAGUGCAGGCGGUUCAAUAAGUCUGAUGUGAAAGCCUUCGGCUCAACCGGAGAAUUGCAUCAGAAACUGUUGAACUUGAGUGCAGAAGAGGAGAGUGGAACUCCAUGUGUAGCGGUGGAAUGCGUAGAUAUAUGGAAGAACACCAGUGGCGAAGGCGGCUCUCUGGUCUGCAACUGACGCUGAGGCUCGAAAGCAUGGGUAGCGAACAGGAUUAGAUACCCUGGUAGUCCAUGCCGUAAACGAUGAGUGCUAAGUGUUGGGAGGUUUCCGCCUCUCA